Molecule: ribosomal RNA, 440 nt
Filed under: uncultured bacterium
Lineage: Bacteria
Description: partial 16S ribosomal RNA
Rfam family: Bacterial small subunit ribosomal RNA
Source: RNAcentral
CCUACGGGUGGCAGCAGUGGGGAAUAUUGCACAAUGGGGGAAACUCUGAUGCAGCGACGCCGCGUGAGUGAAGAAGUUCUUCGUUAUGUAAAGCUCUAUCAGUAGGGAAGAAAAUGACGGUAACUGAGUACGACUGCGCGGCUAAUUACGUGCACGCAGCCGCGGCAAUAAGGAGGUGGCAAGCGUUAUCCGGAUUUACGGGGUGUAAAGGGGGCGUAUUCGGCUGUUCAAGUCUGGAGUGAAGGGCGGGUGCUCAACCCCCGGACUGCUAUGGAAACUGUAAGGCUGGAGUGCAGGAGAAGUAAGUGGAAUUCCGAGUGUAGCGGUGAAAUGCGUAGAUAUUAGGAGGAACACCAGUGGCGAAGGCGGCUUACUGGACUGUAACUGACUUUGAGGCUCGAAAGCGUGGGGAGCAAACAGGAUUAGAUACCCCUGUAGUC